RNAcentral lists this long non-coding RNA (5655 nucleotides) under Populus trichocarpa (black cottonwood). Its description in RNAcentral is "long non-coding RNA (PTRI_LNC002823)". Lineage: Eukaryota; Viridiplantae; Streptophyta; Magnoliopsida; Malpighiales; Salicaceae. The record is from RNAcentral.
GAGAUCUUCAAUCUGGAAUUCUCUUUUCGAUAUUGAUUGCAAGGGGAUGUCCUGAGGCAGAAUUACUGAUUAUGGUGAGGGCAUCUCCAAGUUAUUAGUUGAAAAGCCAUGGAUUCAUCAUCAGAACCAGAUGGAACCUGGAAUUGUUUGAAGCACUGUUCCUGUGAAUUAAUAUUAUAUAAAAUGUAAGAUGGGAAAAGCUUUACUUAAUAUGAUACUGUGUGAAAAAUUGGUUGUUUUUCGAAAAUGUCUAUCUACAUAUCCAUUUUUCUUAAAAAAAAAAGCAAUCUCCCACUUGACUAGGAUUUGAAGGAGUAACGGCAUGGAGGAUUGACAAAGCUUAAAAAAAGCAAUCUCCCACUUGACUAGGAUUUGAAGGAGUAACGGCAUGGAGGAUUGACAAAGCUAAAGCACAAGGACUCAAUUAAGAAGCCUUUUCUGAUGAGGGACUACUUUUAAAGAAAUUCGAGAGUACAAGUACCCCCCCAGCUCACUACCCUGUUGUCUCCGUGGCACUGACAUGCAUUUGCAACGAGGAGACUAAACAACUAAGAAAUUAGAAGUCGUUGUCGCUUGCCACUGCUAAUGAUAUGAUACGAUACUAUUUCUUCUUUAAAUAAUGCAAGCACCUUGCCUUAACUUUUCCUUUUCCUUUUCUUUUUUUUUUUUAAAAAAAAAAAACAUCAGAAUUUGUGUGAUCAAAGCAUCAAUGGACUUCUUUCUUGCAAAUUGAACAAAACAAGACCAUUCAUUCUCUCUCGAGGCUGCGCGUGUCAAAAUGAUGAGCCACACGUACGCGGAACAACCUUAAACUUCACAUGUUCUGCUUUCAAGGAAUUCGAGACUCCUAGAGAACUGGUUUGUCUUCUAUUUUCUUGAUGAUGAUCCUCAUCAGAUCUUUCCUUAACUCAAAAUCAAGUGAUUGUGAAAUGAAUUGUGAUGAAGGGACCGCAUGGAAGGCAGUGGCACACAUAAUAACGGGAGUGAUAGGGUCGGGGGUGCUAUCACUGGCAUGGAGCAUGGCUCAGUUAGGGUGGAUUGCAGGUCCUGUAACCAUGUUGUGUUUUGCUUCAGUCACCCUCCUCUCUGCUUUCCUUCUCUGCGAUUGCUAUCGGUCUCCCGAUCCUGAAUUUGGCCCCAAAAGAAAUCGAUCUUACCUUGAAGCUGUUCAUGAGACUCUAGGUAGGUACAAGAAUAUCCUCCUAGUACUCAUGUCUUCUUCCUUCUUCUUAAUUUUAAUAAUAUUCUCUAAUCACAGUUAUAAUUAGCAGUAUAUAUUUAUUGGAACCGCAAGCCCCAGAAUAAGAAAAUACAACUCUAAAUGGAUUGAAUAAUCCAUUCGUUCAAUACAAUUUUUCUAUACAAAUAUCUAACCCUUUUUCUUCUUUUUUGUUUUUCACAUUCUCAACCUAUUUCGCCCUCUUAUCAGGUGAGUUUAUCUCUUCUCUCUCAAAUAUAAUUGAGACUGAAAAAUAAAUGAAUUAAACAUUUAGACCAAAUUGGUCAUCCAUUUUUUCCAUGUUUUAUAUUGUGGUUCGCUUUCUUUUAUUUUUUUUUCUUUCCACUACAAUUUAAAACUUUAUCUCAUGAAAAUUCAAUAAAAAAAAUGAGGUUAAAAUUAUAUAUAUAUAUAUAUAUAUAUAUAUAAAAAGAGAUACCAAAGGAUUCAAUUAAAAAAAAGUAUGAGGAAUAAGUUAAAAAAUUUUAAAAAAAUGAAAAGAGGGGAAAAAAAGAGAUUUGAGAGUAGCUUUACUUUUUAAUUUUUAUAUAAAAAGUUAAGCACCUUUCAAAUAUUUUAGUGUAUAGUACUAGCUUUAAAAUUCACGCUAUAUCACGAUAGGAUUUUAAAUUAAUUUUUAACAUAAAUAAAAAAUGUAUCAAUGCUACGGAAUCGUUUAUUAUAUCAUGUUUUUUUAGUUGAAAACAUGAAAAUGCUAUUUAUGUUAAAUAAAAUAAAUUUAAAAAAUAAAUAAAUCGAUAAAAUAUAAAAUAGUUAUUAAUGCUACUUAAGUGCUAGAUUGUUAAGCCAAUAUUUAUUAUAAAAGUAAAGCACAAUGAAUAUACAAAUAUUUAACACCCUCUUUUAUUUUGAGUUUAUGUGUUUUUACUCUCUCUUUUUUAUAUAUAUCUUAGAGGUUAUUUUUUCUCAUCAAGAAUAUAUUAUUUAAAAAAAAUACAUCAUACAAAUAUCAUAUAUUUAUAUCAAAUACAAAAGAAAAAAUAAAGAUAUAAAUUACAAUAAUAUCUUUGAAACGUUGUAAAAAUAGAAAAUAAAAAAAAUUAACUACUAUUUAAAAAAAUUAAAUUUUUAAGAAAAAUCAAAGAGAGAAAGAGGAUACUAAUUUAAAUUAAUUUAAAUAAAAAUUUAAUGUAAAUUAAAAAAAUACAACCACAUAAGAAAGGGUAAAGGUCGUAAAAUAAAAUAAUGAGAUAAGAGGCACUUUUAGGCCUAGUAGGUCUCCCGGAGUUAAUGUGCACUUGGAUCUAUAAAUCUAGACCCUCACAUUUUGGCUUAUAUAUAUAUUAUUAACGUGGAUGUCCCGGUAAGCUUGUACGCACUUCGACUAAUCUCACGGGUCCUGAAGUUAACGACCAUGUAAGCUUCUAGUGGCCCUGAGAGAACUCGAACUCGUGACAAUUGAGAAGCAAACUUUAGACCUGACCAGUUGAGCUAUCCCUCUAUAUAUUUAUUUCAAAAAGAAGAAGGCGAAAUAUUUUUCAUUACUUUUUAUUUACAGAAAAAUUUAAAGUAAAUGGUGCAUCGCUUGUUGUGCAAUUUAAUUUACGACAUCUCAUAUGGCUAGAACCCAUCGAAAAGUUGGGUUUCUAACUUUUUUUUAAGAAAAACCCAAUUUUAACUCAUUUUUCACCUGAGAAGCAUCUAAAAAUACAUCCUAGUCACUUUAAUAAAAAUUCAUUUAUGGCUUUUAAAUAGCAAAAAAUUAGUUAAAAUCACAAAAAAAAAACUUGAAAUCGCAAAAUUUUUCAAGCCUCGAUUUACUUUUUUCGACAAGAUAAAGUAAAAAACAUCCAUCAUCAAACUCAUCUCAUCAAAUGAAAUCAUUUAACAUCAAGCUUGGUUAUUUUGGCUACCAGAAUCAUGACUAUCAAUAUUUUUCUCUCUAUGAAAUUUUUUAAUGAGUUUCUCUCUUUUCUCUCAAAUUUAAAUCUAGUGAUCGAAAAAUGAACAAAAUAAAAAAUUAUCAUGAAUAUUUUAGUAUUAUCCAUGUAGUUUCUCUAUAUUUUAUAUUUUAAUUAUUUAUCUUUUAAUUUGGUCUUUUUACCACCAUUUCAAACUUGAUAUUAUCUCAUUACACCAUAAAAAAUUUCAAUUGAAAUAAAAAAACAACGAAAAUGAAAUAAAAUAAAAGAGUUGGGGAGGUGCUUUGGCACCAUAAAAACCCUAGUUCUUUUAGUUGUUUAUAUAAUAUAAUUUGCAUUGUAUUUAAAAGUGUUUUUUUCAAGACAUUUUUAAAUUGAAAAGGGCAUCAAUUUUAUGGUUUUCAACUUCAAUACAAUUUGAGGAAAACGCAUUUUAUUGCAUUAGCAAACACAUGCUUCAUUUCUUUUUAAUUGGAUUUGAUUUAGACAUAUCUGUUAAUAAUUCAAAAUCAUGUUGAAGCUAUAGAUUCAGAGAAAGAUCAUAUCCCAAUUAAUUAUGUCAUUGACAUAUUAACUAGCUUUGACAUGUUCCAGGAAAAAGGAAUGCAUUGGUAUGUGGCGUCUUCGCACAAAUAGGCUUUUACGGGACAGGAAUUGCCUACACUAUUACUACUGCAACCAGCAUGAGGUAUUUAUGUUGUAUUUAAAAUCCCAGAUUCAUUAUCUAUUUGCGUUUUCAUGUAAUUUGACAUGGUUUUUAUAUAUAUUAUCUCUAAAACCAUUUAUGAUGAAUGUGAAAUUGACUGAUCAUUCUUGGAUUCAUGGUUUUUGUCUUAGUUUUCAUCUGAAAGUCUACAAUUCAACAAGGAUUUUAUAUAUCCAUACUUAUAUUUUGGUUAAUAUUUUUUGUGUAUAUAUUUUUAUUAUCCUGCAAAUAUAUAUAAUUGGUUUUACUAAACAGUUUCUCCAACAAUCUUUAAAUGUCAACGAUCCUCCAAUAACGAGCAUUGCCCUUGUGGUUCUUUACAAAGCAAUUUACUUUUUCUUCUUUGUUUUCUGAUGAAGGGCAAUUCAGAAAUCAAACUGUUAUCACAAAGAAGGGCACGAGGCUACUUGUGAAUAUGGAGGUUCUUUAUAUAUGCUACUAUUUGGAGUGGUUCAAGUUGUACUGUCCCAAGUACCAGAUUUCCAUAACCUACAAUGGCUAUCAAUUGUUGCUGCUAUCAUGUCAGUCAGCUAUGCCUCUAUAGGAUUUGCACUUGGGUUUGCACAAGUGAUAGGUGCGGUACAGCAUCAGCUAUUAUUGGCCCUCCAAAUCUUGUGUCGGGGUCAUUGUUCCUGUAAACUUUUAGCUCCAUCUAUUCUGAAUAGUUUCUGUUGUCUCUAAAAUUUCAGCAAAUGGAUUUGUUAAGGGUGGGAUCGCAGGAGUCUCAGCUUAUAGGGCAGCAGAUAAAGUUUGGAAUGUAUCUCAAGCACUUGGAGAUAUUGCAUUUGCAUAUCCAUAUCCCCUAAUUCUACUAGAAAUACAGGUAUGAAUUGUGAUUCUGGAUGGGCAAGUUUUUAAGCUGAAAUGAUCAAACACCAGUGUAGUUCUUUUAAGAGACUAAUUGUAUGUGUUGAAACUUGGAAUUCAUGUAGGAUACUUUAAAAUCACCUCCAUCAGAAAGCAAGAGCAUGAAGAAGGCAUCGAUAAUAGCAGUUGUUGUCACCACAUUUUUCUACCUCUGCUGCGGAGGCUUUGGUUAUGCAGCUUUCGGAGAAAAAACACCAGGGAACCUCUUGACAGGAUUUGGAUUUUAUGAACCGUACUGGCUUAUUGACUUCGCCAAUGCUUGUAUUGUGCUUCAUCUAGCUGGUGGCUAUCAGGUAUGUGUGUGUACACAAUGUUCAUGAUAACUAGAUGAGCUGAUGCACCUUCGUAGCGUCGUAGAAGUAACAAUCCCUGAAAUAUUCGCAAUGUUUGAUUGUGCUUAAAGGUUUACAGUCAGCCAUUAUUUGCAGUCAUUGAAAACUGGAUUGCAGAGAAAUAUCCAGAAAAUAGGUUUUUGAAUAAGAAUCUCACCUGCAAAUUCCCACGGUUGCCAGGUUUCCAAUUGAAUCUCCUCAGAUUGUGUUUCCGAACGAUCUACGUCGUAUCAACAACCGUGAUUGCAGUGAUGUUUCCUUACUUCAACCAGGUUAUUGGAUUGUUAGGAGGAUUCGGCUUUUGGCCCUUAGCUGUAUAUUUUCCUGUGGAAAUGUAUUUUAAGCAGAAGAAUAUUGAGGCAUGGACAAUUAAGUGGAUCAUGCUUCGAGCCUUCAGCGUCAUCUGCUUUUUGGUGACAGCGUUUGCUUUGAUUGGAUCAGUUGAAGGGCUGAUGAGUGCAAGAUUGAGCCAAGGGAGUAAAAGGGAUGUCCUGAGGCAGAAUUACUGAUUAUGGUGAAGACAUCUGAUCCAAGUUUUAGUUAAGAAGCUAUGGAUUCAUCAUCAGAACUACAUGGAACCUGGAAUUGUUUAAAGCACGGUUCCUGUGAAUUAAUAUUAUAUAAAAUGUAAGAUGGGAAAAGCUUUAC